Molecule: ribosomal RNA, 772 nt
Filed under: uncultured Neocallimastigales
Lineage: Eukaryota; Fungi; Neocallimastigomycota; Neocallimastigomycetes; Neocallimastigales
Description: partial large subunit ribosomal RNA
Rfam family: Eukaryotic large subunit ribosomal RNA (bases 4-662)
Source: RNAcentral
UCAGACGAUGCGUCAUGCAUAUCAAUAAGCGGAGGAAAAGAAACUAACAAGGAUUCCCUCAGUAACGGCGAGUGAAGCGGGAAGAGCUCAAAUUUGAAAUCUUGAAAGGUCAUCUUUCACGAAUUGUAGUUUAAAGAAGUGUUUUCUGUUACGAUCGUAAUAUAAGUUCUUUGGAAUAGGACAUCACAGAGGGUGAGAAUCCCGUCUAUGAUUGCGAUUUGUAGCUUUGUGAUACACUUUCAAAGAGUCGGAUUGUUUGGGAAUGCAGUCCAAAAUGGGUAGGUAAAUUUCAUCUAAGGCUAAAUAUUGGCGAGAGACCGAUAGCGAACAAGUACCGUGAGGGAAAGAUGAAAAGAACUUUGAAAAGAGAGUUAAAUAGUACGUGAAAUUGUCAAAAGGGAAGCGUUUAACACCAGUGUUGUUUUCUGAAAAUCAACCUCUGUUAGCUUUAUGCAUGUUUGUUUAGACCUAAUCAGCUAUCUUUCAUGUUCUAUUGUUUGCAGUGGUGCACUUUUCAGUUUACAGGUCAACAUCAGUUUUUUUUACCGUAAAAAAGUUAAAGAAAGGUAGCUCAUGGCUCCGGUCGUGAGUGUUAUAGUCUUUUUCCUAUGCGGUAGGAGAGACUGAGGUCUGCAGUGUAGGCUAUUUGGCUAGAUACUCAGGUGCUAUGUGAUACCAUUUCAUAAACAACUUGUUGAUUAUGUUUUGUCUAUUGCAUACUCGCUUGUACUAUCAUACCUACGCUUAGGAUGUUGACUGAUAUGUAGUCGUA